CGAGUUUGAGAGAGCUAGGAGAACUAACUGUGUUGUGUUAUGUUACUUGCUUUUAGUCCCACAUCGCUUGCAUUGUUUAUUUGUAUUUUGUUUAUAUAGCACAGUCACUCACCCUAAGCUUGUCCCUUCGGGGACAUCCGAUAAAAUUGGAACGAUACAGAGAAGAUUAGCAUGGCCCCUGCGCAAGGAUGACACGCACAAAUCGAGAAAUGGUCCAAAUUUUUUUGUCAUUUUCUUCCCCGAAAUUAUUAGGGUUUCUACGUUCCUCUUCUCUCUGAUUUUUUUUGCGUUUACGUUUUGUUCGUUUUUUCUUUGAUUUUGCGUUUAGGUUUAGGGUUUUGUUCGAUUUCUCUUUGAUUGUGCGUUGAGGUUUUGUUCGUUUUCUCUUUGAUUUUGCGUUUAGGGUUUUGUUUUUCUUUCAAAGCAGUUAUGGGUUGUUCAUCACGAUUUUGAAAUUGGGGGUGUCUCCUACUGAUUUUCAACCAUGUAUUAUUAUUAUUAUGUAUAGUUGAAUUUUGGUUAUUUUUCUUGACUUAAAUUACUUUCAUUUCGCUCAUCUGUCUAAUCAAAUGCUUCACCAUAUAGAUAAACAUCAUACCUUUCAAUUGAAUUCUGUGAUUGUGAAAACAUCAAAUUCACCAUAUAGAUUAUAACAUCAUAGCUUUCAAUUCAAUUCUGUCAUAGCAAAAACAUCAAAUUCACCAUAUAGAUUAUAACAUCAUAGCUUUCAAUUCAAUUCUGUCAUAGCAAAAACAUCAAAUAAUAGAUUGCCAAUUUGUGUUUCUAUCUCAUUCAUUCAUUCCUAUACACAAUUUUCACCCAUUUUCCCAUUCAAAGGGAAAACGAAAAAAUAUUUACAACAUGCCUGCCUAUAUUCUACCAAAUGUCAAUACUAAUCUAUGUUAGUCUUUUUCAGUUGCAGAUUUAUAGACCAUUCAAGCAACUAGUAACAUCCAAGAAAACGUGUUCCGUGCAAGGAAUUGUGAGCCCACCCAUUUGAUGAUCAUAUCCGAAUUCUUCCUCUGCUUCACUCAACAAGUUUAGGAAUUGUGAGCCCACCCAUUUGAUGAUCAUAUCCGAAUUCUUCCUCUGCUUCACUCAACAAGUUUAGAAAUGAUGGUUGGUUCAAGUAUGACGUGGGAAUCACAAACCGCUUCUUUUCCUCACCAACGUACACCGCAAGACAUCCCUUUGGCACUUUUGAUGAUGUUUGGCCAUUGCUAAAUGAUGCCCGUCUCAUAGCUGCAGGUAAACGGAAACCCAUCUCAAAUCUUUCAAAUAACAAGCUAAAGCUUUCAAAUUUAUCUUAUUUUUUAUGCUUGACUAUGUGAAUCGGCUCUGAUGGUUGGUUGUGAAGGAAGAUAGUGUAUUUAUAGUCUUCAAGAGUUUCUUCAAAUCCAUUUCUUUGAUAAACUAUUCUUGUUAAAGGAUGGGGUCCUUAAGAUGAGGGGUCACCACAUGCUAUUGUCUUGGACGGUCAAGGCCCCACCUUCUCAAUGAAAGCCCAGUACAUAGAUAGCCCAAUUCAGAGUCAAAUGAGAUGGCCGGUAGAUAAACUUAAUGCUUUGAUUUAUUAUCUUAUUUUUCUAGACACGCGUUAGACAUCUCACAUGUUUUCUUCAUAUUGAUAACACCCACUCAGUGCCGACAAAUAAAUUCUGCUGUUGUAUGAAUUCUAAUGUAUAUAGAUAAUGCUUAGUUGGGUUCAAAUCAAUCCAUCAUAAUUGUAGGGAGGCAACAGGGAACUUUCAUCAUUGGCUUGGUCAACAGUCCAAAUAUAUUAGUAGUACUUGUUUGACUUUGAACCCACAAGUAGCAGACAUACUUGGAUGGAUAUUUUUUAAGUUCAACAGUCUUAAGCUUCGCAGCCAAACUAUCUUUUAACUGUCAGUCAAACUAGUCAAAGCUCUCCUCCAUUUAAAACUUAUAAACAUACAUAUGUAGGCAAGAGGUGAUGGUGUAGCUCGGAUGACUUUCUAGCUUUAACAACUGUGAUGACUAUAUGACUCUUAACUAACAUCCAAUUUUACGAACAGUUGAGGUGAAUUCGAAGUAAAGGGUUGCCGCCGCCGUUGGUUAUAGGAUAACAACUAUGACCUCACCAAUCCAUAGGAAGAGCGCCGGUAGUUCAUUAUGCGUUAAUUAUAGGCCAUUUAAGCGAGAAGCUGUAAAAACAUAUCUUUUUCGUCGCAAGGAAUCAUAUGUAGACCUUCCGUUAGAUGACAGUAAUUGCACUUUCACAAUGGGGUCAAUCUCAAAAUACCCAUCAUGUUCACUCUUCUACUGAUGAACUAAAUGUAGGGAGGUUGUGAUAAUCUUUUGAUUAACACAAUACAAAUAUAGUACACUUUUUCGGACAACAACUUCGGCGACAAGUCCAUGUGAAGAGCACGAGAAGUCUUUGUGAUUGCGGUCCUUACCACCUUCUUCAAGCAUCACUAGAAAGUGCAACAUAUUAUGUGAUCAGUUAUUGGGAAUCGUCAGACCGCCCAUUGGAUGACGGUAACCAAAUUCCUCUUCAGCUUGACUAAGCAAUUCUUGAAAUAAAGGCUCGUUUAAAAAUGAUAUUGGAAUCAAGAACCUCCUCGCCUUCUCUCCAACAUACACUACAAGAUAGCCUUUUGGGACUUCCCCUUCUUUGCUAGAUGAUUGGCUUGCACUAAAUGAUGAUCGUCUAAUACCAGCCUUUCUCUGGACAAGCUAUUGCUAUAAUAUGAGGUCAGAGGAAUGCAGGCAUGCUGAAAACAUGAGAAUCAUGUCAAUGCACUGGCUUAAAAAUUAGAAGAGCAAUGAACUGAGCAUAAGUUGCAGGACAGUUAAAUGUUUGUUUUGUCUGUUCCGUGGCCUUGGAAUAUAAAGUCAAUGAUCCUAAGAAGUUGUUUGAUUACAACAACUCUGAUUAAGGUAAGCUAAGCUAAAGCCUUGUACUCGGUUUCAGCUGAUGGUUCAGCCAAACUUUGAAUUAUGUUAUUUAUAUUGAUUUGAAAUUCAUGUUUAACUGCCAUUUUGUGCAUAGAUUAUGGCUGAACACUGAGAACUUGCAAUAAAAGACUUCUCAUAAUUGGUUUAAUAAGUGGUAAGCCUGAACUCUAUUAUUGAUGGGCUUAGCUUCUAUUUUAGGUUAUAAUUAAUUGUGUCUAAUUACUAAUAUUAAUUAUUAUAUGCUCUGUUCAGACUCUGUUUAGUCAUGGAAUUAGCUCCUGAAACAUGUGAACUGCGUUUUUUAUAGUCUAGUCACUCUUUACUUAGUAUAUUUAUGAUUUAAGAGAGGAUAUUGAAUGUAGGGAGAUUGUGAUAAUCUUUUGAUUAGUAAAUAAAUAAUACAAACUUUUAUGUAUAGUGGAGGGUUGCUAGGAACUUAGAGUAAAGGGUUGCCACUAAUUGAAUGCUUCUGACAACAACUUCGAUGCUAACUCCAUGUGAAAAGCAUAGAAAUUCCCUGUGUUUGUGGAUUGCAUCACCUUCUUUAAACAUCACAACAAAAUGCAACAUACAAAUACAAAUUCAUCGGUGACUAAGAUGUUGUUUAGUUUUGUGGACUCAUGUAUGGCCUCGUAAUAUAUACCAGUUUAGCAUUACCAUAUCUAUUAUUAGUAUAUAAUAGACAGUAUCUAUUAAAUUGAGGCAUGGCUUGUGUUUCUGCAUGCAAUGCAAGUAUUUAAGAUGAUGUAAAAAACAAUUGAUAAAUUCAAAAGAAUAAGAAUAUAGUUUGAUUAGAUUCUCAUUUCAUAUUUCCACUUCGGAGGAAACAUCAAAAUUGACAAAAAAGUUCCUAAUGUACAAAAAAUGUCUUAACAAGUCAAUCUACGCUGCUCUAUGCUAACUUUCAUAUGAUAUUUGUUGCCGUAUGAAUUAAUCAUAAUUGGUUGUUCAAGCGAGAAGUUGUAUGUAAGAAGACAUCUUCCUUGCAUGGAAUUGUAAGACCGCCCUUUGGAUGACAAUAACCGAAUUCCUCUUCAGCUUGGCUAAGCAAUUCUUGAAAUAAUGGCUCGUUCAAGAAUGAUACCGGAAUCAAGAACCUCCUUGCUUUCUCUCCAACAUAAACUGUGAGAUAUCCUUUUGGGACUUCCAUUUCUUUGCUAGAUGAUGAUCGUCUAAUACCAGGUAAGCGAAAACCCAUUCUGGUUUUGUUUUUUUACAAUAGAAUGAUUUCAAAGUAGUAGAAGAAAGAGGUGAACUUGUAUUCUGAUGCUUCAAGGAAUGAAUGGUUUGUGUUGCUUGUACACCCAAUGCUGGAUAUAUAUUUAGACUUUGAAAACCAAUUGUAUGGUGAAUGAGUUAUUGAAUGGAUGUUAGUGGGAGCCAUGGCUCAUUAAUGAUCACAUGGUACUGUCUUGAAGGCUUUCAUAGAGGACUGUACGAAAUGUGUGAUCAAAUACCCCACACCUUUUGGAAAAUUAGUCUAUGAAAGAGACCAGAGAUAACAUACUUAAUAUAUUUCAGACAAGCUCUAAACACAUCAAGUAUAUUGUUCUUGUUUUUGUACGACAAAAGGUAUCUACAAGUACUUGAUGAUAUAUCCAACCAACAAAUCAUGCAUUUUUCUUGGAAGCUGCCGCAACUUUGAAUGGACAGGCUACUGCUACAUUGUUGAUCUAAACGUAAAAUGUGGCUGAUAUAUCAAUUGGAUAAGUGACAUGGAUCAAAACAUGACAUUUGGUUCCACAAUUGAGCCAAACAUAUAUUAAAACAGUAAAAGUAAAAACGUCUUUCUUAAGUUUAUGUUUAAGAGUUUAGGAGGAGAGAAGAGGGUUUUGAAAAAAAGAAAGGAUGUUAUGGAAGGAACGGAAGACUUUGGGAGGGUUUUAGAGGGCUUAUAUAAAUUCUUAAAAUUCAGUCUAUAUUAUAAAACUCUCAAAAUUCGAAACAUAUUAAUCAUACAUUAAGGAUAAUUUCCUUUUGAGUUAAAAGCAUACUAGUAAGUCCUUAUCCGUAACAAACAGGAAAAAAUAUUAUGAAUCAUAAAUACAACUCUACUUGUUUCCCUUGAAUUCAUUGCUCAACAUUUUAAAACAGGUUCAUCAAUAAAGUUCUGCUAACAUACUAUUCUUAUAAGCUGAAAUAAUCAGUCUACCUUAUGAUAAAAUAUCUUGGCAGCCAGCAGGGCAAUGUUGCUAGACUUUUCUUCGGAAGAAUGCAGUUAUUGAAAAUGAAAAUAUAUAGGACUGUUGACAUUAAUAAUUCAAUUUUCAGAAUACAGUUUUCUGCUACUUGUGGAUUCAAAUCUGUACUACUAUCUUCUGGUUAGGAUGACUUCCGACCAACCAAUCCCUUGAUACAGGUUCCUUUGUUGCCUCCUAACAUACAUGAUUUGUAGCCACUAAUUGGCUUAAAAGUCAUCCUUAAGAUGAUUUUUGCUACUAUGUGUCGACAUUGAGCCGUGUUACCAAUAUGAAGAGAACAUGGCACAUAUCUACAAAUACUUGAGUGGCCAUAAGUUAAGCACUAAUUUGAACCUUCCUAUCUCAUUUGACAUCCAAGUGAGUGAUCUACUAAAGAUGUGGUGUAUAUAUGCACUCUUAUUGAACUUACUGGUCCUUGAUAGAGACAUCAAAAAGAGAUAUCAUGUGAUCUCUCAUCUCAUGGACCCCGUCAUUUAGCAACCACUUCUCAACAAAAUAGAUUCCAAGAAACUCUUUGAGACUAUAAAUACACUACCUUCCUUCACAACUAUCAAAACUCAUUCACAUACUCAACCAUCAAAAGCUAGUUACGUUUUUCUUAUAUUUGAGAGCUUUACCAGUUCUUUGAAUCAUUUGAAACGGGCUUUCAUUUACCGGCUGUUAUCAGAUGUGCUUCAUUAAGCAGAAGCCGAACAUCGUCAAAGGUACUGAAUAUGC
This is a long non-coding RNA of Vicia villosa (hairy vetch), 5840 nucleotides long. RefSeq lists it as uncharacterized. NCBI's taxonomy places the organism in Eukaryota, Viridiplantae, Streptophyta, Magnoliopsida, Fabales, Fabaceae. The transcript is spliced from 6 exons. The record is from RefSeq and is a predicted model, not a curated record.